RNAcentral lists this ribosomal RNA (305 nucleotides) under uncultured bacterium. RNAcentral describes it as "bacterial SSU rRNA". It matches the Rfam family "Bacterial small subunit ribosomal RNA", at positions 333 to 653 of the family's 1533-position model. The record is from RNAcentral.
UUAAACUUACGGGGGGCAGCAGUGGGGGAUAUUGCACAAUGGGGGAAACCCUGAUGCAGCGACGCCGCGUGGGCGAAGAAGUAUUUCGGUAUGUAAAGCCCUAUCAGCAGGGAAGAAGAAAUGACGGUACCUGAGUAAGAAGCACCGGCUAAAUACGUGCCAGCAGCCGCGGUAAUACGUAUGGUGCAAGCGUUAUCCGGAUUCACUGGGUGUAAAGGGAGCGUAGACGGCCAUGCAAGCCUGGAGUGAAAGCCCGGGGCCCAACCCCGGGACUGCUCUGGGAACUGUGCGGCUGGAGUGCGGGG